AGCAUUCGCGCCAGCCAAUAUACAGCGCCGUUGGGAUCACUGCCACGCAUGCUUUUGAUAAAUGCGCUGAUGAUGUUGUAAUGCUGCUCACCGGUCUUAUCAUAAAGCGCGGGCUUCUGCUGAACCAGCCGGUACACGACUUCAUCUGUGACAGCUUUUUCCGGUCCCGGCAGAUGACCAAUGACAAGUUCGAGAAUGUUCAGGAGUUUCCUGGCGUCCCCGCCGGAUAAACGCAUGAGGGCCGUUGUUUCCUUCAGCUCCACCUUGCUCUGCUUAAG
This 278-nucleotide unclassified non-coding RNA is filed under the name uncultured bacterium. RNAcentral's name for it is "contains 16S-23S intergenic spacer region". The record is from RNAcentral.